This is a non-coding RNA of Physcomitrium patens, 948 nucleotides long. The record is from RefSeq and is a predicted model, not a curated record. NCBI's taxonomy places the organism in Eukaryota, Viridiplantae, Streptophyta, Bryopsida, Funariales, Funariaceae.
GUGUGGAAACGUAGUCGCUGUGGCCAGCGCUGGUCUUCAACUAGAUGUCUGCAGCGUUGUUAGACCGCAAACAGCGACAUGCUGCUGCAGAAAUUUCUUCAAACGACGACAUGCCGUCAAACACAUGUUGGGUGUUCUGACUGCGGUGGUCAUACAUUCCGGAAGCUUUAAAUCGUGCCUUGCAAGUCAAAUCCUCGAGGUCACCUUUGGAAGCCAUUUCAGAGUUGAACCCCUCCCGAGAGCUCAUUCUAGGGCUGAUCCUGUUUCCCUGGUUAGAAGAAUCUCUGUUCCGCAUCUUGUCAGUAUUUAGAAAAAACAAACUUUGUUCAUGAUGAGAGAUGCUGAUUUCUCGAAGAUUAGCAGCCUCGGAGUCUGGUCAAGUGGAAUCUCAUCCAUGGAGUCUUGUAGAAUAACUCACAACCAUAUUCAACGUCUCCCAUGAUGAGCUCAAGGCUGAUCCUUGCUCAUCUGCGUCGAUCUGGAUGAUUCACAAGUCGAUGAAGUCACUGAGAAAUUGGGUAAUGGCGACGGAUGCAAUCAAAGUUAGAGCAUUUCACCAGCUUCCACAUCCAAAGACUCUCUCAUCAGAAACAUCGAUCAGGUGGAGAAGUCCCGCGGCCGCAAAGCAUCGUGUUUUGCAGAUCCAAAAAUUGUGAACACAACAAACUUAAUCACAACAACUCAACAGAGCAUGCUCAAUGUAACUCAACAUGAGUUUCUAGUUUAUCACCCACCCACCCACCUUCUAAAAUAGAUCCUCUUUUAUUUAUUUAUCACCCACCUUCUGGAAAGGUAGACUUCUUUGUCUCUCUUUUGCUUACUUUCUUCCACCUCCCUCUUCCCUUUUCUACUCUUUCCUUUUCCUCUUUCUUCUUGACCUUCAAUUUUCUCAUAUCUCACGUUGUUUCUUUUUACUUCUUAAUGCAAAAAAACACUAUUCAAUUCAAA